GACGAACGCUGGCGGCGUGCUUAACACAUGCAAGUCGAACGGAAAGGCCCUGCUUUUGUGGGGUGCUCGAGUGGCGAACGGGUGAGUAACACGUGAGUAACCUGCCCUUGACUUUGGGAUAACUUCAGGAAACUGGGGCUAAUACCGGAUAGGAGCUCCUGCUGCAUGGUGGGGGUUGGAAAGUUUCGGCGGUUGGGGAUGGACUCGCGGCUUAUCAGCUUGUUGGUGGGGUAGUGGCUUACCAAGGCUUUGACGGGUACCCGGCCUGAGAGGGUGACCGGCCACAUUGGGACUGAGAUACGGCGCAGACUCCUACGGGAGGCAGCAGUGGGGAAUAUUGCACAAUGGGCGGAAGCCUGAUGCAGCAACGCCGCGUGCGGGAUGACGGCCUUCGGGUUGUAAACCGCUUUCGCCUGUGUCGAAGCGUGAGUGACGGUAAUGGGUAAAGAAGCACCGGCUAACUACGUG
Molecule: ribosomal RNA, 468 nt
Filed under: uncultured bacterium
Lineage: Bacteria
Description: partial 16S ribosomal RNA
Rfam family: Bacterial small subunit ribosomal RNA
Source: RNAcentral